Bubalus bubalis (water buffalo) is the source of this 1432-nucleotide long non-coding RNA. RefSeq lists it as uncharacterized. The record is from RefSeq and is a predicted model, not a curated record. Lineage: Eukaryota; Metazoa; Chordata; Mammalia; Artiodactyla; Bovidae. The transcript is spliced from 3 exons.
CCUAUAGAGAAGGAAAUGGCAACUGUUGGGAAGCGUAGUGCAAAAUAGCCGUAAAAGGAGAAAGUCCUUGGGAAAAUGGCAAAGGGCCAGAAGUACUCGGCUUUGCACUGCGGACAGAGAAACAUCUCCUGCCUUUGGUUAUGCUCGGCGCCAAGAGUUAAUAAUAAAUAGGGAUGUUACUUAUGAGAGUGGGUUGUGGGAUAAGCCCAUGAGUCAUUUAGAGCACGCUGUCCUUGAAAUGUUUUUACUGAUUAUGUGUUAACUCCGCAUGUGCUCUGCUGGCCAUAUACUUUAAGCUCUUUGUUCCUGCUUCUAUAAAAAAGCUUGACUGCAGAAAUAAACUUGUCAGUCCUUGCAAGAGACUGUCCAAGUGUCAUUCUUUCAGGUUCAGUGUUACUUCCAAGUCCCGGGGAAAAAAAUCCCCAAGUGGAGCCUGAACAGGGACUUGAGAGGAAGGCUGAACAAAGUGACGAGCCUCUGCAGAAAGAGGCAAGGGUUAUGGUCUUGUCAUUGAAGAUGGAGAGAAAAUCUGGGUUCCCCUUCACCAUGUCUGCUACUGAGAAGGACCCCAAGACCGGACUCCCUCAGGAAGUUGACGUGAAGGGUCUCGUCAAUGACCCUGGAGGAGCCAAUGAGGAAACGCCAUCAUCUGAAUCCUUACCCAACAUGGGCUCAAGUGAAAACAUGACUCGUCAGGCUGAGCAGACACUGAAGAGUACUGGAACUCCUAUGAGUCCAGAUAAGCUGUUUCUGGCUAUGUAAACUGUUCUGAAGAGCAGGAGGAACAUCAUAAUUGCUCCUGGUUUAAUAUAUCAAGCAUUGGAGGCUUUCAUAAAUCUAAGACAAGUUUCUGGACUGAUAAGGACAUAUUUCUGAAUUGGUAUAACGGGGGCUUACCACCCCCACGUACCAGGAUUGCCAUCCCCAUUGUGGGGCCAAAGCAAUGGCAUACUUGGAAAAUUCCAGCAGCUUUAGAGCACUUUGCUAAUGUUUAUAGGACUACGGGAUACAGAAGUCUCUACUCAAGACUCCACGCCUCCCACAAUAGAGUCCAACUAGCAGCCGCUGUGCUUAAUUUAAAAACAAAAGGAGGAUAUGUGGAGAAGCCUAGUGCAAAAUAGCCGUAAAAGGAGAAAGUCCUUGGGAAAAUGGCAAAGGGCCAGAAGUACUCGGCUUUGCACUGCGGACAGAGAAACAUCUCCUGCCUUUGGUUAUGCUUGGCACCAAGAGUUAAUAAUAAAUAGGGAUGUUACUUAUGAGAGCGGGUUGUGGGAUAAGCCCAUGAGUCAUUUAGAACACACUGUCCUUGAAAUGUUUUUACUGAUUAUGUGUUAACUCCGCAUGUGUUCUACUGGCCGUAUACUUUAAGCUCUUUGUUCCUGCUUCUAUAAAAAAGACUUGACUGCAGAAAUAAACUUGUCAGUCCUUGCAA